RNA transcript from Aquila chrysaetos chrysaetos, 3550 nucleotides. It is a transcript of the gene named paraspeckle component 1, with no coding region annotated. The record is from RefSeq and is a predicted model, not a curated record. The transcript is spliced from 11 exons. NCBI's taxonomy places the organism in Eukaryota, Metazoa, Chordata, Aves, Accipitriformes, Accipitridae.
CGCGCAGGACGGCGCAUGCGCGGCCCCCCGUGUUUCCCCCCCCCCUCACCCCGCGCCCAGCAACGACCAGGAGCAGUGGCGGGGAAGGCAGCGCGGGCGACGGUGGGCGGGGCUUUCCUCAGGGACGUUACAACUCGCCGAGGUUGGCGGCGGCGCCAUUUUGAAUUGGCUGAGGGUCGGAGGCGGUGGUUGCUGAACCGGGCUCCGCGUCCCCCGAGAAGACCAGCGAGAAAGGAGCGAGUUCUGAAUAUGGCAGCGAAUAGGAACUUGAAGCAAGUGCGGAUCGAGAAUAGCUCCCCGGCGGCGCCGCUGGGCAUGGUGGGGGGUGGUGGCGGCAACCUGAAGGGAUUGCGGGGCCUAGAGUCGGAGAGUGAGGCAGCGGCGGCCAUGGCGCUAGUGCCGAGCAAAGAAGGUGGAGAUGAAGAGCAGGAGGUUGGGUUCACCAUCGAUAUAAAAAGCUUUCUCAAACCUGGCGAGAAGAGCUACACGCAGCGCUGCCGGCUGUUCGUGGGGAAUCUGCCUACUGAUAUCACCGAGGAAGAUUUCAAGCGCCUCUUCGAGCGCUACGGGGAGCCUAGCGAAGUCUUUAUCAAUCGGGACCGUGGCUUUGGCUUCAUUCGCCUGGAAUCUAGGACACUGGCUGAAAUAGCAAAGGCAGAACUUGAUGGUACUAUUUUGAAGAGCAGACCACUUCGAAUUCGAUUUGCUACACAUGGAGCUGCCCUAACUGUCAAGAAUCUUUCACCUGUGGUUUCUAAUGAGCUGCUGGAACAAGCAUUCUCUCAGUUUGGGCCAGUGGAAAGAGCUGUUGUUGUAGUAGAUGAUCGUGGCAGAGCUACAGGAAAAGGUUUCGUAGAGUUUGCAGCAAAACCUCCAGCACGGAAAGCUCUAGAAAGAUGCAGUGAUGGGGCAUUCUUGCUAACAACAACACCUCGACCUGUUGUUGUAGAACCAAUGGAGCAAUUUGAUGAUGAAGAUGGGCUCCCAGAGAAGCUAAUGCAAAAAACACAACAGUAUCACAAGGAAAGAGAACAGCCACCACGCUUUGCUCAACCUGGAACAUUUGAGUUUGAGUAUGCUUCACGGUGGAAGGCUCUUGAUGAGAUGGAAAAGCAACAGCGUGAACAGGUUGACAGGAACAUUAGAGAAGCCAAAGAGAAACUAGAGGCAGAAAUGGAAGCAGCUAGACAUGAGCAUCAGUUAAUGCUGAUGAGGCAAGAUCUCAUGCGCCGUCAAGAAGAAUUGAGGCGUUUGGAAGAACUUAGAAAUCAAGAACUUCAAAAACGCAAGCAGAUACAAUUGAGACACGAAGAAGAACAUCGGCGUCGUGAAGAAGAGAUGCUACGCCAGAGGGAACAGGAGGAAUUACGACGACAGCAGGAGGGAGGAUUUAAGCCAAAUUUCAUGGACAAUGUGAAAGAGAUCAUGAGGGUUAAAGGUUAUUCCCUUGCUCCUUCAACAAUUUUGUACUUCUUAGCUGUUCAUGAUAAGGUAAACCUGAACAAAUGCAAACAUGAACACAGCUCCGCGGAUCAUCUCGGGUUCCCUUUGGAAACCCCAAAUAAAUGGCCACAAGGGAUUGUGUGUUUUCCUGAGAACAGCUCGGCAUUGGAGUUCUUCCUUUCUGUGUGAUGGAUAGUGGCUCUGCUACUCUCAAAAUGAUACCUAUGCCUGCUGGUGCAAAAUGUUGUAUGGUCCACUUCAGUGGCAGUCGAAAUUUACCCAUGCUGCUGUUCUGUGUUGCUAGGUUACUAUUAAAAUCUUAAAAUGCAGAUGAAGACUGGCUUGUGCAGAAUCCUUCUGCUGCCUUAUGCAUACAAAAGGGAAUCCUAAACCAAGUUUUAGUACGAGCCUGAGUCAUACUCAUUUCCUGAAAAUGUUCUCCAUUGUAUUCGGUUUCAAUGAAAACUGCUGGUGGCUAUACACCCUCAGAACUGAAGAUGGCUUUCUGCUAUCAUGUGCAAGAUGCUGCUCUUCACGUUGGAAUGACAAGGACCAUCAGGGACAGGUCUGCCCUGCAAGACCCGAGGCAAUCGGGCUGUUUCAAGUGAUGGGAAGGGGACCCGCAUGGAGGUGGUGUUCCGCACCAGCACCCUGGAUUUGAAAAGACACAUCAGAAGAAUCUGAAUGCACUGUCUGCUUCCGAGGUUCAAGAUGCCUUCUCUGGUAUGAGGAGAUGAGUUACAGCUUUUGUGAUGCUACUGUCUUCAUUUUCAGCCUCUGGCAGAGGAGGUGGUACCCAGCGUUAAGCAAAGUCGAGCAUUUCAUAGGAAGGCUGACGUUAGCCAACUUGGAUGUGUAACUGAGGUCUUGACUCCCUUUUUAUCUAGACUGUACCAGAAGAUUUUCUUUCCAGAAAUACUAGUGCUGGGAAAUGGUGUUGAUAAAAGGAUUACAGUUUGCACAUGCUACAAUAGGAAUCAAGGGUACAUGAUACAUUAAAAGACUGCUCCUUGGUAAAAUGAUUGGGUUUGGACUAAAAAAAGCCUUUAGAGUUAAAUGAAAUGAGUAAGGAAGUAUUUUCAAGCACUAAAAUAUGUGACAAAAGAUAGGAAAGUGGUGGGGUCUAUAUUUAGAGAAAAAACAAUAGUGUGGAUUGUGUUUAAGUUGCAGUAGUUUAAAAGCGCACAGAAGUAUUAGUUACCUAGAGAAAAUGGUGUAAGCCAGCAACAGCUGAAAAGGACUGGAAGGAAAUGUUAACCAAUGGGGAGAUUAAAGCUGCAGUAAGAUUCGCUGUCCAUGCAGUUAAGUUUGAGUUGGAAUUUAUGAUAAAAAUGCCUGCUGUCUUAAUGUAGCCCAAUAAAAAGAUGAAAAACAAAAACCAUGAAUGAAAUUAAUAAUGAAAAAUGAAUUUUGAUGUGAUGCAGUUUUAACAUCGGACUGUAACAUACCACCCAUUUUUUUUUUUUAUAGGGUUUCUGUAUCUGUUAUAAAACUGUUUCAGAUUAAUCAAUGAAUAACAGGAUGUUUAUUUUCUGUUCUAUUUUCUGAAUCGACAAGGCAGUGAACAUGAAUCGAGGGCCUGACGGGAACCUCACCGAGUUCAAAAAAGGCAAAUGCAACGUCGUACACUGGGUACUGAAUUAACUUGAUGCAGUUGCACAGACUGGUUGUGAAGCAGCUUUCCAGAAGCUGAUCUGGGAGUCCUGAGGAACAAGUGAAGAUGAAGGCGUCCAACCACAUUCUGGGCUCCAUUAGAAGAGCACAGCUGAGCAGGGACAAGGAAAGCAAUCUUUCUUCUCUGCUCAGUGCUUCUGUGACUGCAGCUGCAGUGCUGUGACCAGUUCGGGGCUCCUGAAGACAAGAUGGGAACAAGUCCAGUGGAGGCCAGCACGGUGAUCAGGAGGUUAGAGCACAGGAGCCAUGGGGAUAGGCAGUGGGGUUUGUUCAGUCUGGAAAACAGGAGGUUGAGGGGUAGGAUCCUACCUCAGCUGUGUAAUGGAAGGGGCUGGAGGCUCAUCUUAGUGGUGCACAGUAGUGAGGUAGUCUUGUGUAAUUUUCAGUGUAUGUAAGCGCUGCAUCAUACCACUAAUAAAAAUAGUGCAAGUCA